Molecule: ribosomal RNA, 558 nt
Filed under: Massilia agri
Lineage: Bacteria; Pseudomonadati; Pseudomonadota; Betaproteobacteria; Burkholderiales; Oxalobacteraceae
Description: bacterial SSU rRNA
Rfam family: Bacterial small subunit ribosomal RNA
Source: RNAcentral
AUCACAUGGGCGCAGCCUGAUCCAGCAAUGCCGCGUGAGUGAAGAAGGCCUUCGGGUUGUAAAGCUCUUUUGUCAGGGAAGAAACGGCUGCGGCUAAUAUCCGCGGCUAAUGACGGUACCUGAAGAAUAAGCACCGGCUAACUACGUGCCAGCAGCCGCGGUAAUACGUAGGGUGCAAGCGUUAAUCGGAAUUACUGGGCGUAAAGCGUGCGCAGGCGGUUUUGUAAGUCUGACGUGAAAGCCCCGGGCUCAACCUGGGAAUUGCGUUGGAGACUGCAAGGCUUGAAUCUGGCAGAGGGGGGUAGAAUUCCACGUGUAGCAGUGAAAUGCGUAGAGAUGUGGAGGAACACCGAUGGCGAAGGCAGCCCCCUGGGUCAAGAUUGACGCUCAUGCACGAAAGCGUGGGGAGCAAACAGGAUUAGAUACCCUGGUAGUCCACGCCCUAAACGAUGUCUACUAGUUGUCGGGUUUUAAUUAACUUGGUAACGCAGCUAACGCGUGAAGUAGACCGCCUGGGGAGUACGGUCGCAAGAUUAAAACUCAAAAAAAAUUGACGGA